AGAGUUUGAUUAUGGCUCAGGAUGAACGCUAGCUACAGGCUUAACACAUGCAAGUCGGGGGGCAGCAUGAAGUUGCUUGCAAACUUGAUGGCGACCGGCGCACGGGUGAGUAACGCGUAUCCAACCUUCCCCUUACUAGGGAAUAGCCCGGCGAAAGUCGGAUUAAUGCCCUAUGUUCUCCUUUGCGGCAUCUAACGAGGAGCAAAGAUUCAUCGGUAAGGGAUGGGGAUGCGUCUGAUUAGCCAGUUGGCGGGUAACGGCCCACCAAGGCGACGAUCAGUAGGGGUUCUGAGAGGAAGGUCCCCCACAUUGGUACUGAGACACGGACCAAACUCCUACGGAAGGCAGCAGUGAGGAAUAUUGGUCAAUGGACGCGAGUCUGAACCAGCCAAGUAGCGUGCAGGAAUGACUGCCCUAUGGGCUGUAAACUGCUUUUAUGCGGGAAUAAAGUCAGGUACGCGUACCUGUUUGUAUGUACCGCAUGAAUAAGGACCGGCUAAUUCCGUGCCAGCCGCCGC
RNAcentral lists this ribosomal RNA (518 nucleotides) under uncultured bacterium. RNAcentral describes it as "bacterial SSU rRNA". It matches the Rfam family "Bacterial small subunit ribosomal RNA", at positions 8 to 518 of the family's 1533-position model. The record is from RNAcentral.